RNAcentral lists this long non-coding RNA (258 nucleotides) under Brassica napus (rape). RNAcentral's name for it is "long non-coding RNA (BNAP_LNC011565)". The record is from RNAcentral. Lineage: Eukaryota; Viridiplantae; Streptophyta; Magnoliopsida; Brassicales; Brassicaceae.
GGGUUUAGAGUUUGGGUUUAGAAUUUAGGUUAUAGGGUUUAGGGUUUAGAUUUAAGGUUUCGGAUUUAGAAUUUAGGAUUUAGUUAGUAGCGUUAGCGUCAUUAAAAUUGGCGUCAUUAUUUUUUUGAAAUUAAUUUAGAUUUUUUUUAAAAAAAUUAAUGUAUUUUAUUAUUAAUCUAUGUGGCGUUUUGUUCUUAGUAAAACUAAUUCUAAAAUUUAACAUAACAUCUGACAAAAUAAUAUUUAAUUUAGGAAAAC